RNAcentral lists this non-coding RNA (100 nucleotides) under Corynebacterium pacaense. Its description in RNAcentral is "ALIL pseudoknot". It matches the Rfam family "ALIL pseudoknot", at positions 2 to 104 of the family's 117-position model. The record is from RNAcentral. Lineage: Bacteria; Bacillati; Actinomycetota; Actinomycetes; Mycobacteriales; Corynebacteriaceae.
GCUUUUUUCGCGGCGGAGCUCGACCGCCCACACAAGUAAUCGUCACCUUCAUCGACGACAACCGUGCUCAGUUCGGGGUCGAGCCCAUCAUCCGCGUCCU